Non-coding RNA from Ictidomys tridecemlineatus (thirteen-lined ground squirrel), 106 nucleotides. Lineage: Eukaryota; Metazoa; Chordata; Mammalia; Rodentia; Sciuridae. The record is from Rfam.
AUGAUUCUUCGGUUCUUAAGUGUGAUGAUUGGGUGUUCAUGCUCUUGUGUGAGAUGUGCUUCCCUCUAAACCUUGUUAUGACAUUGGCACAUUACCCAUUCUGACA